UACAGAGACUGCAAGCGUUAUUCGGAUUCACUGGGCGUAAAGGGUGCGCAGGUGGCCAAGUGUGUUAGGCGUGAAAGCCCGGGGCUUAACCCCGGAAUUGCACCUAAAACUACAUGGCUAGAGCAUUGGAGAGGGGAGCAGAAUUCACGGUGUAGCAGUGAAAUGCGUAGAUAUCGUGAGGAAUACCAGAGGCGAAGGCGGCUACCUGGACAAUUGCUGACGCUCAGGCACGAAAGCGUGGGGAGCAAAAGGG
This 253-nucleotide ribosomal RNA is filed under the name uncultured bacterium. RNAcentral's name for it is "partial 16S ribosomal RNA". It matches the Rfam family "Bacterial small subunit ribosomal RNA", at positions 524 to 776 of the family's 1533-position model. The record is from RNAcentral.